AAUUCAAUACCGGUAUCAAAACACCAGCAGGUCCGAUACCAAAACAAGUACCAAUAAUCUGUUAUCGGUACCAUUAAAACAGUAGUCCUUCAAGAUGGCGGUCUGGCAGACGGUUCAAAACGAAGCGGAGAUUUAUAAAGUGAUUUCCUCGGUUUAUUCAGGUGAAGGAGGCUGUUACUGUCUGCCUGGCACUUGGCACUCUUCACCGUUCUGCUUUCCGCCUGGAGUGCCACGGGGCCAACAGUGAGUGCCGGGCAGCUGACGGUGGACCUGGUAAUUACCUGUGAGAAGUUGGUCCUUGGAUGUAAGGCAAGUCUUGCUCAGCUCAGUGACAUUGCACUGAAGAAUGAGGCUUGUCCCUUGUUUGCUUGUGUCUCAUACUCCAUAAAUCAGGAACUUGAGAAGCUGCUUCCAGUCUUGUCUCAGGUGGGCACCACCCAGCCCCUCUGACCACAGCAGCAAAGACCAGUGCCAUGUCUUGCCUGCCCAGUGCCUUGCUGUCAUGCAGACCCCCUCAUAGAAAGUGAGCGACAUAACCUCCUGACUGAGCUGGUGGUGGUCCUGCAAUGCCUAUGAGCGAUGGGACAACAACCAAAUCCCUGGCCACAGCUGCGCUACCUCACCUCCCACACAACAGAGGAGGAUGUGCUAGUCUCACUUGGGGCCUUGGAGCUGGAGAACACAAAGGAAGAACAAACAACAGCAGACCUGAUGGUUCUUACGAGGCUGUUUGUGACAAGCUACACUAACUAUCUAAUCAAAGGUGGAAGAUGAAGGACAGCAAGAUGAAGAAGCGUCUCUCAGCCCUUCCUCUCGGGUGCCGGCUUUGUCAAACUCUUCAUGGAAAUUUGCACUGACCUCAUCAUGCCAGAGACUGGGCAUGCACAAGGCGACCCAUUGUAGUAGCACUGUUGUGUUCCCCCAGUGACCUGCCGACCACUGUGCUGCUCAUCAAGCUUGUGGAGGAGGGAGACAGUGCGAUGGGCACAGUCAUGCUGCUCAACUUUCUCAAUGCUUGGAAGGUCCAGGAGCCGUCCAGCUGCCCCGGAGAGCCCAGCGACCACACCCUGCAAGACAGCCUGCUCAUCCUGGGACACACAGCCUCACCCUUCAGGCAGGAGACUGACGGG
Long non-coding RNA from Eriocheir sinensis (Chinese mitten crab), 1130 nucleotides. RefSeq lists it as uncharacterized. The transcript has 8 exons. The record is from RefSeq and is a predicted model, not a curated record. Lineage: Eukaryota; Metazoa; Arthropoda; Malacostraca; Decapoda; Varunidae.